RNAcentral lists this unclassified non-coding RNA (234 nucleotides) under plant metagenome. Its description in RNAcentral is "partial contains small subunit ribosomal RNA, internal transcribed spacer 1, and 5.8S ribosomal RNA". The record is from RNAcentral.
UUUCCGUAGGUGAACCUGCGGAAGGAUCAUUAAAGUUAUAGUCCCCUGGCCCUCUGGGCUGGGGUCUUCUAUACCACCCUUUGUUUAUUACACCUUUGUUGCUUUGGCAGGCCUGCCCACGGGCUGCUGGCUCCGGCCGGCGAGCGCCUGCCAGAGGACCUAAACUCUGUUUGUCUAUAAUGUCUGAGUACUAUAUAAUAGUUAAAACUUUCAACAACGGAUCUCUUGGUUCUG